Molecule: ribosomal RNA, 484 nt
Filed under: uncultured bacterium
Lineage: Bacteria
Description: partial 16S ribosomal RNA
Rfam family: Bacterial small subunit ribosomal RNA
Source: RNAcentral
AUUGAACGCUGGCGGCAGGCCUAACACAUGCAAGUCGAGCGGAUGGAGGGGGCUCGCGCCUGGCUUCAGUUGGCGACGGGCGGGUGAUUCCCAGGAAUCUACCUGGCCUAUAGGGCUAACGUCCGUAAACGGGCGCUGAUACCGCAUACGUCCUGAUGUUGAAAGUGGUGGAUCUUCGGAGCUCACGCUACUUGAUGUGCCUAGGUUGGAUUAGCUAGUUGGUUAGGUAAAGGCGUACCAAGGCGACGAUCCGUAGCUGAUCUGAGAGGGUGAUCAGUCACACUGGAACUGAGACACGGUCCAGACUCCUACGGGAGGCAGCAGUAGGGAAUAUUCGACAAUGGGCGAAAGCCUGAUGCAGCAAUGCCGCGUGAGUGAUGAAGGUCUUCGGAUCGUAAAACUCUGUUAGUUGGGAAGAAGAGAUGUGUAAGUAAAUCUGCCUGUCUUGACGGUACCAACACAGAAAGCACCGGCUAACUACGUG